AAUAUUGCACAAUGGGCGCAAGCCUGAUGCAGCCAUGCCGCGUGUAUGAAGAAGGACCUUCGGGUUGUAAAGUACUUUCAGCAGUGAGGAAAGGUGGAUAUGGUUAAUAGCAUAUUCAUUUGACGUUAGCUGCAGAAGAAGCACCGGCUAACUCCGUGCCAGCAGCCGCGGUAAUACGGAGGGUGCGAGCGUUAAUCGGAAUUACUGGGCGUAAAGCGCAUGCAGGUGGUUUUGUUAAGUCAGAUGUGAAAGCCCCGGGGCUCAACCUCGGAAAUUGCAUUUGAAACUGGCAAACUAGAGUACUGUAGAGGGGGGUAGAAUUUCAGGUGUAGCGGUGAAAAUGCGUAGAGAUCUGAAGGAAUACCGGUGGCGAAGGCGGCCCCCCUGGACAGAUACUGACACUCAGAUGCGAAAGCGUGGGGAGCAAACAGGAUUAGAUACCCUGGUAG
RNAcentral lists this ribosomal RNA (449 nucleotides) under uncultured bacterium. RNAcentral describes it as "bacterial SSU rRNA". It matches the Rfam family "Bacterial small subunit ribosomal RNA", at positions 360 to 793 of the family's 1533-position model. The record is from RNAcentral.